AUUGAACGCUGGCGGCAGGCCUAACACAUGCAAGUCGAGCGGUAGCACAGAGAGCUUGCUCUCGGGUGACGAGCGGCGGACGGGUGAGUAAUGUCUGGGAAACUGCCUGAUGGAGGGGGAUAACUACUGGAAACGGUAGCUAAUACCGCAUAAUGUCGCAAGACCAAAGUGGGGGACCUUCGGGCCUCAUGCCAUCAGAUGUGCCCAGAUGGGAUUAGCUAGUAGGUGGGGUAAUGGCUCACCUAGGCGACGAUCCCUAGCUGGUCUGAGAGGAUGACCAGCCACACUGGAACUGAGACACGGUCCAGACUCCUACGGGAGGCAGCAGUGGGGAAUAUUGCACAAUGGGCGCAAGCCUGAUGCAGCCAUGCCGCGUGUGUGAAGAAGGCCUUCGGGUUGUAAAGCACUUUCAGCGGGGAGGAAGGCGGUGAGGUUAAUAACCUCAUCGGUUGACGUUACCCGCAGAAGAAGCACCGGCUAACUCCGUGCCAGCAGCCGCCGUAA
This 504-nucleotide ribosomal RNA is filed under the name uncultured bacterium. RNAcentral describes it as "partial 16S ribosomal RNA". It matches the Rfam family "Bacterial small subunit ribosomal RNA", at positions 30 to 523 of the family's 1533-position model. The record is from RNAcentral.